RNAcentral lists this ribosomal RNA (255 nucleotides) under uncultured bacterium. RNAcentral's name for it is "partial 16S ribosomal RNA". It matches the Rfam family "Bacterial small subunit ribosomal RNA", at positions 522 to 776 of the family's 1533-position model. The record is from RNAcentral.
UACGGGGGGGGGGCAAGCGUUGUUCGGAAUUACUGGGCGUAAAGGGCUCGUAGGCGGCCAACUAAGUCAGACGUGAAAUCCCUCGGCUUAACCGGGGAACUGCUUCUGAUACUGGAUGGCUUGAGUUCGGGAGAGGGAUGCGGAAUUCCAGGUGUAGCGGUGAAAUGCGUAGAUAUUGGGAAGAACACCGGUAGCGAAGGCGGCCACCUGGACCGGAACUGACGCUGAGGCGCGAAAGCCAGGGGAGCGAAUGGG